AUGCAUAACUGGCUAAAGACUAGAAGAGUACCCAGUGUGCAAUGUCUCCUAAGUAGUGUAUGCAGCCUAUUGAUUGUAUGGGUUCCCCUAAGGGACCUUGGAGACAGCC
Molecule: small nucleolar RNA, 109 nt
Organism: Ailuropoda melanoleuca (giant panda)
Lineage: Eukaryota; Metazoa; Chordata; Mammalia; Carnivora; Ursidae
Gene: SNORA70
Rfam family: Small nucleolar RNA SNORA70
About the family: snoRNA U70 seems to be exclusive to mammals and is a member of the H/ACA class of snoRNA which contain H (ANANNA) and ACA box motifs.
Source: Ensembl